UUUUCCGCACCUGGCUCCUCACGUCACUCCUCUUUGCUUCAUUUUUUUAUUUUCUCCACUGUCUCAUGUUUCCUGCUUCUUCUAUUCUCACGCUGCCAACCCACUUUUCUUACCUCCCUUUCAUUUUUUUAUUCCUUCUUUUAUUUCAGACCUACUCCCCACUACCGUUCCCAUUUUCAUGCUUUUAUUUUCUUAUUCUUUUCCACCAGUCCAUGCGCAUUCCAUUUCUACUUAUUUUCUUUUGUUUUUCACUCAAUGCUCACCCAUUGUCUCUCCACUCCCUCUACUGGUAAAGGCAGCUUUUUAUUCAUUUUUCUUCUUCUUUGCCGUUCCUUUCUUCUUCUACAAAACAUGAAUAAUGAUGAUGUUUCAAACAUCAUCAUGACUUAUCAUUAUUAUUUUAUUUAAAAGCUGAUCUACACAGACAGUUUUGACGAAUUUAUUACAUAAAAUUUCACUUGUUCUAUUUUUAUUUUCUUUGCUAGACAAAUCCUAUAAUACGCAAAAACAAAGUAAAUAGCUCAAAAAUAUAAGGAACUAACUAAGAAAAGACGAGUGAAUUCGAAGUAAAAAUAUAUAUAAAUAUGAUCCAAUCAAAUACCCCCACACUUAACUUUUGCUAGUCCUCGAGCAAAACAAAGAAAACAUGAGAAAGAACUAACAUGAAAAACAUUAGCUUCCCCCUAUGUGACCCUCAUAGAAUUUCAUUUAAGAAAACAAAUCAUCAAGAACCAUAGCUAGCAUCAAGGAACUAAUCCAAGUUCAUCUUCCUUAUUCAAAUAUUAGCAGUAAUCUUUGAAUCAUCCUUGAAGUGUAGUGUGUGAGAUAGCCAUGCUAAUACAAUUUCAAGUUUUUAUUUUUAAAAUCAUCAUAUGCAAACUAGUGACCUUCUCACGGGAUAUACACUCAAUCACAUAUGUGUUUAGUUUUAGUGUGUUUCGCUCAAAGAAUCAAAUGUGAAAUUUCUACCAUAAGCUUGCAUAAAGAUCACUUCUCCACAGUCAUAAUUGCAAAACUUAAAUUAAGAGGACUUUUAUUGGAUGUAAUGAGGCUUAGGGAUAGGGUUAUUGAAACGAAAGAAUAGGAAAACACAAGUUCCAAGCUACAUUGCAAGCAAUUCUUUUCUUUAGAUUUAUAAGAACUCAAGCUCUCCAGCAAUUCUUCUAGCACCUCCAACCAUACUCUAAAACUGAAACUUUAAAAACUUUUUAUUUUCUUUGUAUACAAUCUUUCUUUUUCUUUUCUUCUUCUUUUUUAUUUUUUUAUUUUUUUAUUUUAAAUACAAACAUGAAAUACUCCCACACUUAUUCUUUUGCCAAACACCUUCAAAGUACUUCACAAACGUAUCUCAUAAGACAAUCUCGCAUUGCUCGCUUGGAAAGGGUAAGGAAAAAUGUUUCAGGUAUAAGGGUAGACAUAUCUGGUGAUAAGAAAUAAAAGGCUCAACAUACACGGCUCAAAUUGGCAAUCUAAUGAUAUCAUUUUUCUUUGGGAAACAUGGUUAUUUGGGCCAUGGUGGUAAACCUAAUGCCUCUAUCAUUUCCAAGUUCAUGCAAUCAAUGACAAACAUUUCGAAAGAUCGUUACGCAAGUUCUAGAGAUGUAUCUCACAUAAGUUCAUCACACAUGAAAGAAUAGGAGUGUAUGAAAAAUGCACACACUUUCAAUAGGCUCAAAAACUCACAUAGGAUGUAUAUGGUCACUAAAUUCACAUAUGAAGCUUUAAGUCAUACUUUAGUUUCACAUUAACAAGGCUAUGUGCAUUUGGUUUUUCAAAGAUGAUCAAACAUGUACAAAACUAACAAGAGAAUUAGGAAUUUCACAAAACACAUGUUAACUAAGUUCUUGAUAAUCAUGAUUCAAAUUUGAUCUAAUUAUAUCAUUGGGUCGGGAAACUAACAAAAAUCUAAUUCAAAACAAUAAGGGAAACAAGACAAUAUUUUUGGAUUUUUUUUUUAUUUUUUUUUUAUUUUUUUUUUUUUUUUUAUUUUUUUUUUUAAAUAUUUUUUUUUUUUAUGAAAACAAAAAGCAACAACAUGGAAACAAAUGAAACUCGUUCGUAGUUGAAGGUACAAAAAAUUUCAAUUUGGUCAUUUUUUAUACUCUUUACCCCCAAACUUAAACUGGACAUUGUCCCCAAUGUCAGAAAACACUAUAAUGCAAAUAAAAAUAAAAUAAAUAAUAAGAAACAAAAUAAAACAAGUGGACUGAAAACUUCCCUAAUUUGCAGUAAAAUCACGAUAAAAGACAAUGAAUAGAACUAAUAAGUGAUCAUUGGUCGUGCAUGUUGACUUUCCACAGCUUUCCUCUUGAACAGGGUGACACUUAGCUUUUCACUUGCAAGUGAUGAUUUUAUGCUAUUGUACUGCGAGGCUUUGCUCUUUGGUUAUGUUGCAGUUCCUUAUUUGUUCUCCAAGCAGAUGUGGCAGCUUCUCUAGUUCUUCAGCUCGGACUCCUUGUGCUGGGUUGAUUGUACGAGCUGCAUUCUUCUCUGCUUGUUUCUUCAGCACGGUGGGCAGGCACGAGGUAGAGGUAUUGGUCUGUUUCUUUCUUCAAUCUUUCCAAGUGCCCACCUCUUGCUUUCUUUCUCCUUGUCCCUAGCUGAAUUGUCUCCACAUGCUUCGAGGUAUCAUUUUCACUUCCCUUACUGUCCCCCAGGCAGAUGUGGUAGACGAAGAGAAAGCAUAAAAUGAUGAAGAUGAGUACUCGAGAGCAAGGCUAGGUAAGCAAUCAGGAAGGGGUUCCAGGCAGUUGGCUCCAGAUCGGAAGAUUGAUACCAAAUGCUGGCUAAUUGCUCUCUUUCUCCUUGUCGUAAAACAAAGACAAGGAAAAGGACAGGGAGAAAGCAUGAUAUGAGAUACUCUUGCUUUCAACCUUCAUGAUAUGAAAUACUUUGCUCUGGAUGGGUUGUUUGCAGGGGUAUCCUAGGGGAUGAAAAAUACAGAGUGACUCGAGAGGGUUUGUUGGAAAGCCAUUUCAGAGAGAUGAAGAAGUGCUGAGAGGGUGUGCCUUUGCUGUGGAAGGCGAAGGUAAAUACUUAUAGGUCUUUUCUUCACAACCGGAACUAUUCUCUCACUCAUUGUCGGUAGCCGGUGGAUGGAUGAAUAGUACAAAUUACGCGUUUUCUGACAAAGCUGCCCGUAAUUUCCGCAAAGCAGAUUCCUCAUUGAUAUCUGGAAUCGGCGCUUCGAGCUCUGAGCAUCGUCGAUUGUAGAGGUAGCAUGUGACACGUGCGGAUAAAUCUGGAAAAGAAGAUUUGCCCGUGGGUUGAAGCCCAGCUUUUGAGAAAGCUAGCGUGUCUUUGACUGUUGAAUUUCCCUCUUCGAUUUCUGAAUUGGUGCUUCGACAAACUGCCCGAGAUUUUCGCAAAGCAAUUUGCGUGUGACGAGUGACGACACGUCUGGACAAAUUGAUCUUUUGAAAUCCGGGGUUCGGCUCGUGGUUUCUGAGCAAGCCCAGCCUUUAAGAAAUGAAACGCCUCUUUUGAGAAAAGAAUCCGGCUUUUGAGAAAGGAAACUCCUCUUUUGAGAAAAAAAAUCAGGCGUUUGAGAACGGAGCCCCGACUCUUCGAUUUGCGAGAGGACGCCUCUUCAAUUUCUGAGGAGCGCCUCUUUGAUUUCUUCUUUUUAUAGAGGCGCUAAUUUUGUUCCACAACACACUUGAGCUCCCUCUUGUAAACACUCCCUUCUUGCACUUGUUUAAUCUUAAUCUGUCCGAGCUCUUCUUUCUCAACACCUUCAGAAAAUGUCUGGCCCUUCCGAUCGUCGUUUUGACUUGAACCGUGGUGAAGAGGCAGCCCCACUUUCACCAGACAACAUAUGGCGUCCAUCUUUCAUAUCCCCUACUGGUCCUCUUACCGUUGGGGAUUCGGUGAUGAAAAAUGACAUGACCGCUGCGGUGGUGGCCCGGAACCUUGUCACCCCCAGAGAUAACAGACUGCUCGCUAGACGAUCUGAUGAAUUGGCAGUUAAGGAGUCUCUGGCUCUUAGCGUGCAGUGUGCCGGUUCCGUGUCCAACAUGGCCCAACGCCUAUUUGCCCGAACCCGUCACGUUGAAUCGUUGGUGGAUGAAAUACAGAGUCUCAAAGAGGAGAUUAAAGGACUCAAGCAUGAAAAUAAACAAUUGCACAAGCUCGCACACAGCUAUGCCACCAGCAUGAAGAGGAAGAUUGACCAGAUGCAGGACACCGAUGGUCAAAUUUUACUUGAUCAUCGGAGGUUUGUGGGUUUGUUCCAACAACAUCUGCCUUCGUCUUCUGGAGCGGCACCGCGUAGUGAAGCUCCAACUGAUCAACCUCUGCCGCCUCCUCCUUCUGUGACCCCGCCGACUGCUGAAGCCCCGCCUACUACUGAAGCACCACCCGACCAAUGAAUACUAUUAGUUUACAUCAUUGUAAAAUAUUUGUACUUUUUUUUAUAUUUUUUUUUAUAUUUUUUUAUAUUUUUUUAUUUUUUUUUUUUAAUUUUUUUUUUUCAUUAAUUUUAAAUUUUAUUUUUUUUUUUUUUUUUAUGUAAAUUAAUGUAAAGAGACUUUGGUUAACCUUCCCCCACACUUAAACUAAAUAACACAAACUCACAGAAAUCAACCAAAUAACACAACUAACUAAACAAAACAAAAUGAAAGCAGUAAAGAUAAGGGUGGAAGAAUGCAAAGCUGAUUGGGUUAGUGAUUCCAAAGUCUCCCUUCGUUGAAUGCUUGGGUUGCCUCCCAAGAAGCGCUUGAUUUAACGUCUUUAGCCGGACGCAUCUUUCCUUUAAAUUUCCCUCGGCUCCAUUUGAACCUAAAAUCAAAGAAAGAAAAAUAAAUCAAAUAUCAAAAGUAAAAUACACAAACACCAAUAUAAACAUAAACAAAAACAAAAAUAAAAGGAUUAGCAAAGUUGCUAAUCCCCGGCAACGGCGCCAAAAUUUGAUGCGAAAAUUACUUGACACACAAAUUAAACCCUCUUUUUGACAAUUGUAGUAUGGAUGUAAGUAGGGUAUCGUUCUAGGCCGGGGAUUAGGAGGGAUUGCUAAUCUAUUCUCAAUUAAUUUAAAAUAUUAAAUAAGACUCAAGGACACAAAGCUAGGCUAAAAACUCUAAUAACUCGAAACACACUUAAAAUGACUCAAAAUAAUGAAAACAAUUAAUUUAAACACUAGGAACUGAAAUGGACGGAAAUUAAAUUAAAAGACUAACAAUAAAGAAAACUAACUAAAUAAUAUAAUUUAAUAAUGGAUGGGUGUUUGGUUUUGAUGAAAAGUAAAUUAAACUUAAUUAAAUUACAGAAUUGACAAAAACAUAAAAUUAAGGUAAAAUGAUAAAUGACGGACUAGCUAGAGGGUUCUUCUCCACACAUGUUAUACUUGCAUACAAAAUGAUUUCCAGUUGCUUUUCGAUAAGCUAUGAAUACUCAACGCCCCAAAUUAACCGUGAAUUGCACUAAUUAACCCUCAGUUUUUCCACAAGUUAUUGGGUUGGAUGAUUGCAUACGACAACCCAAAACAUUCCCUACAAGUUCCCUACAUGAGUUGCAUAAUAGAGAUACAAGCAAGAAUCAUUAAGUUCUAUGAAAAACAUAAGCAUUGACGAGACACUCGUUACUAUGAUUUGCAUGAAACUUAUGCCAAGAAUUUACUUAACGUAAUUGUGACUAGCAACCUUCACUACUUGUGAAUAUAAGUUCAUAACGAUUAGGUGAAACUCCCUUAUAUUCUAGCGUCAAAUUCAUGCAUGAAAAUUAAGCGUGCACUCUCAACCAACAUACACAAAUCAGUUUUUAUACGAACAGAUAAGUAAAUUGAAUUCACAACUUAUAAAUCACAACUGAAGGUAAUCAAUUCAUAUUACAAAUAUAUUCAUGGCUUUGAAUUAACCUCUAGCCAAAAUAAAUUUAAUUACACAUUAUUAAAACAAAAAUAAAAUAGAAGUUUGGAAAGAUUAAACCGAAAGAAGGUGAUCUGUUGCGUUCGUGCCCGUGUGAACUGCGCCUCGCUGGCGCCCUCUCCUUUCCUGCGUCUCUGCGAGCUGCCCAAAGGGCAGCCCCUUUCUCCUUCCCGCUUCUGUCUCUCUAACCUCGCUGCCAAAGCAGCUUUCUAUUAUUUUCUUUUUCUUUCCUAUGAGCUGCCAAAGGUAGCUACCCCCUCCUCCUCUCCUUAUUUUUCAAAGCCCCUCUUAUAUUUCUCACGUCUCAUGUCUGCCUUCUUCUCACCCACCUAACUCUGUCCACUUCCUCUUAUUUCUUUUCCGCACCUGGCUCCUCACGUCACUCCUCUUUGCUUCAUUUUUUUAUUUUCUCCACUGUCUCAUGUUUCCUGCUUCUUCUAUUCUCACGCUGCCAACCCACUUUUCUUACCUCCCUUUCAUUUUUUUAUUCCUUCUUUUAUUUCAGACCUACUCCCCACUACCGUCCCAUUUUCAUGCUUUAUUUUCUUAUUCUUUCCACCAGUCCAUGCGCAUUCCAUUUCUAUUUAUUUUCUUUUGUUUUUCACUCAAUGCUCACCCAUUGUCUCUCCACUCCCUC
RNAcentral lists this long non-coding RNA (6501 nucleotides) under Malus domestica (apple). RNAcentral's name for it is "long non-coding RNA (MDOM_LNC013341)". Lineage: Eukaryota; Viridiplantae; Streptophyta; Magnoliopsida; Rosales; Rosaceae. The record is from RNAcentral.